CCAUCACAUGGAUUAUUCGAGCUCAGAUUUUGCUAAAUUGAAAUACAUUGAUGCAUAUCUCCUACUAAUUAGGAGGGGUCAAUCCUAUUUUGACUCACGCACCGACUUAACAAGUACUUGACUACAUCCAAAAAUCUUCUGUCAUUGAAUUAGAAACUCAGUUAGUUUGAUACUAAAGUACAGUGAGUUGCUUGCAAGUCAUCAUGGUGAUCUC
This 214-nucleotide long non-coding RNA is filed under the name Elaeis guineensis (African oil palm). RNAcentral describes it as "long non-coding RNA (EGUI_LNC056543)". Lineage: Eukaryota; Viridiplantae; Streptophyta; Magnoliopsida; Arecales; Arecaceae. The record is from RNAcentral.